This 465-nucleotide ribosomal RNA is filed under the name uncultured bacterium. RNAcentral's name for it is "partial 16S ribosomal RNA". It matches the Rfam family "Bacterial small subunit ribosomal RNA", at positions 28 to 507 of the family's 1533-position model. The record is from RNAcentral.
GACGAACGCUGGCGGCGUGCUUAACACAUGCAAGUCGAACGGAAAGGCCCUGCUUGCAGGGUACUCGAGUGGCGAACGGGUGAGUAACACGUGGGUGAUCUGCCCUGCACUUCGGGAUAAGCCUGGGAAACUGGGUCUAAUACCGGAUAGGAGCCAUUUUUAGUGUGAUGGUUGGAAAGUUUUUUCGGUGUAGGAUGAGCUCGCGGCCUAUCAGCUUGUUGGUGGGGUAAUGGCCUACCAAGGCGGCGACGGGUAGCCGGCCUGAGAGGGUGGACGGCCACAGUGGGACUGAGAUACGGCCCAGACGCCGACGGGAGGGAGAAGUGGGGAAGAUUGCACAAGGGGCGCAAGCCGGAUGCAGCGACGCCGCGGGGGGGAGGACGGCCUUCGGGUUGUAAACUCCUUUCGCUAGGGACGAAGCUUUUUGUGACGGUACCUAGAUAAGAAGCACCGGCUAACUACGUG